ACUUCCUUUUCUUUUCUUCUUCCUCCGGUUUCGCACGCCUGAUCUCUCCCUCUCCCUUUCUUUCCUCUUCCUUUCUUUUCUCCCUUCCUCACGCAGCACCUCUCCCAUUUCUCCCUUUAUCCUUUCACUCUAUACCCACAACAAACCGAGAGUGAGAGAUGAAUCGAGAGAGAGAACCCGAGUGUGGAGGGUGGUUUUUGGCCAGUGGGGGUGCGAUUUUUGGAGCUUUGGUGGCUGGGUCACUAUCGGGGGAUGGAGGCAGCAGCUAGGACCAUGAAUUCCGGCCCUAAUCCGGAUAGUGUCCGGAUUUGAGACUUCAAUGGGUUCUCCAAUGUAGAGUUCGAGUCAUGCGUCCAAUGCAGUCCAGUGUCGGUGUGAUCCAGAGAAGGACCAGAGAGGCUGAAGGGGCUGAGCUAAAUAUGGAAACACAGUGCACCAAGCAAGUUUUGUUGUUUGUUUCUGCAAAAUUUUUAAACCAGGGUUUACCAUUUCUUCGUCAUUUAUCUAAUUGACACCGUAGGAAUAACGAAAAGGCGUAGGAGAGAGAUCGAGGUUGAGAA
Long non-coding RNA from Alnus glutinosa, 560 nucleotides. RefSeq lists it as uncharacterized. The record is from RefSeq and is a predicted model, not a curated record. The transcript has 3 exons. NCBI's taxonomy places the organism in Eukaryota, Viridiplantae, Streptophyta, Magnoliopsida, Fagales, Betulaceae.